This is a long non-coding RNA of Nyctereutes procyonoides (raccoon dog), 1414 nucleotides long. RefSeq lists it as uncharacterized. The record is from RefSeq and is a predicted model, not a curated record. NCBI's taxonomy places the organism in Eukaryota, Metazoa, Chordata, Mammalia, Carnivora, Canidae. The transcript has 4 exons.
UGCUGAUUGUCCUAUAGAUAGGACAAAAGAAGGUAGUAAGAUAAAGAAGUGAUCAGGUGAGCUGUUCCUGCCUGAACGGCAGAAGAACUGAGAAGGGGAGGGCAGUGGCAUUUAUAGGGGCCACAUGUUUGAAGAGGGUAAGGAAGAGCCCGCAGAGGUGCAAUCACACAGCGGCAUGAAAGUGAAGAGGCACAGGAGUGGGGCAGGCAGCCUCCUCCCCCGGGGAGACGAAGUGAGUUAAGAGAGUACUAAAGGCUUUCCACCUUGCAGUACAGUGCUGCUCCUGAUGAUCGGAACCAUGUCUUCCACCUGCCUUGAUCAGUUAUCCGAAGUAGUCACUCCUAAAGUAUAUCUGAUGGAACACAAGACGGACUUUCGAUACAGAAGACUAUCACUGAAAAAUAGAUACUUUUGACUGCCUAUCUGGACUAUAUUCUUCAAGUGAGCACAUCAACCACUGACUGCUUCUUUAAAGUUAAUUAAUCUUUAAAGUAUCCCAAGAGAAGGAAGAGAGAAGAAAAGAAACAGAAAAAACAUGAGGGAACCAACUUCAGACAAAUAUAAAAUUGUUCUCGUAAAAAGCUAAUUAUGUUCCCUUUGCAAGGAAAGGAAAGAAAGCUUAGAUAGAGAAAAAAUCAAUUUUAGAUAUAUACACACAAAAGAGAGUGAUAUGUAGUUGGUUAUGACAAAACUUGACUCCUUGACAACUUUAUCAAGCCAUAAAUCAAAGCAUGAGGUCUCAUUAAUUCUUGAAGUAUGAAAACAAAGAAGGCGAUGUUUCUACCAUUAAACAGAAUAUUCUCUCUUUUGGACAAACGAGUCAAUUUCCUUAAGAAAGUUUCUUUCUUCUUUUUGUUCUAAGGCACUUCUCAAAUGAACAGCCUCACUCAUGUCAAAAUUUCCCCAAAUUGGCCACUGCAUUCCAAACUGUCCCUAGUGAAACUGUGCCAGUAAGAAAGUUAAGGGUAUAAAUUAGCAUGUAAAAAGAAAACACGAAGGCAGCAGGUGUGUCAUUUGGAAGAGGCUCAGUUUUAUAUUGAGAAAAACCUCUGAGGAUGGAAUGGUUUAUAAGAAUAAGGCUUACUAGCUUUGUGUCUCUGGAACUUGGCUAAAGGCCAAUGGUUGCUAAUCCAGAGCUGAACAGAAUCUCUCGAUUUGGUACAGAUAGAAUGAAACAGUGCAAAUCUGUGACUAUACUAAAACCAUCAGGACACCCAGGUGGCUCAGUGGCUGAGCAUCUGCCUUUGGCUUAGGUCGUGAUCCUGGAGUCCUGGGAUCAAGUUUUGCAAGGGGUUCCCACUAGGGAGCCUGCUUCUCCCUCUGCCUAUGUUGCUGCCUCUCUCUGUGUAUCUCUCAUGAAUGAAUAAAGAAAAUCUUUAAAAAAAAAAAAAAAGCUAAAAAGCAUUGAUUUGUA